Non-coding RNA from Otolemur garnettii (small-eared galago), 76 nucleotides. Lineage: Eukaryota; Metazoa; Chordata; Mammalia; Primates; Galagidae. The record is from Rfam.
GCAGUGCCCUAUGCACAAUGGUAUCAAUUACGUAGAGGAUGUAUGUAAUUGGGUCCAUUCUGGGUAGAGUAAGGCU